Molecule: ribosomal RNA, 454 nt
Filed under: uncultured bacterium
Lineage: Bacteria
Description: bacterial SSU rRNA
Rfam family: Bacterial small subunit ribosomal RNA
Source: RNAcentral
UACGGAAGGCAGCAGUGGGGAAUAUUGCACAAUGGGCGCAAGCCUGAUGCAGCCAUGCCGCGUGUAUGAAGAAGGCCUUCGGGUUGUAAAGUACUUUCAGUCGUGAGGAAGGUGUUAAGGUUAAUAACCUUAGCAAUUGACGUUAGCGACAGAAGAAGCACCGGCUAACUCCGUGCCAGCAGCCGCGGUAAUACGGAGGGUGCGAGCGUUAAUCGGAAUUACUGGGCGUAAAGGGCACGCAGGCGGUUAAUUAAGUUGGAUGUGAAAUCCCCGGGCUUAACCUGGGAAUGGCAUUCAAGACUGGUUAGCUAGAGUCUUGUAGAGGGGGUAGAAUUCCAUGUGUAGCGGUGAAAUGCGUAGAGAUGUGGAGGAAUACCGGUGGCGAAGGCGGCCCCUGGACAAAGACUGACGCUCAUGUGCGAAAGCGUGGGGAGGCAAACAGGGAUUAGAUACC